UUAACGCUGAGGUGUGAUGACGAGGCACUACGGUGCUGAAGUGAUAAAUGCCCUGCUUCCAGGAAAAGCCUCUAAGCAUCAGGUAACACGAAAUCGUACCCCAAACCGACACAGGUGGUCAGGUAGAGAAUACCAAGGCGCUUGAGAGAACUCGGGUGAAGGAACUAGGCAAAAUGGUGCCGUAACUUCGGGAGAAGGCACGCUGAUAUGUAGGUGAAGUCCCUGCGGACGGAGCUGAAAUCAGUCGAAGAUACCAGCUGGCUGCAACUGUUUAUUAAAAACACAGCACUGUGCAAACACGAAAGUGGACGUAUACGGUGUGACGCCUGCCCGGUGCCGGAAGGUUAAUUGAUGGGGUUAGCGGCAACGCGAAGCUCUUGAUCGAAGCCCCGGUAAACGGCGGCCGUAACUAUAACGGUCCUAAGGUAGCGAAAUUCCUUGUCGGGUAAGUUCCGACCUGCACGAAUGGCGUAAUGAUGGCCAGGCUGUCUCCACCCGAGACUCAGUGAAAUUGAACUCGCUGUGAAGAUGCAGUGUACCCGCGGCAAGACGGAAAGACCCCGUGAACCUUUACUAUAGCUUGACACUGAACACUGGUCCUUGAUGUGUAGGAUAGGUGGGAGGCUUUGAAGCGUGGACGCCAGUCUGCGUGGAGCCAACCUUGAAAUACCACCCUUUAAUGGCUGGUGUUCUAACGUAGACCCGUAAUCCGGGUUGCGGACAGUGUCUGGUGGGUAGUUUGACUGGGGCGGUCUCCUCCCAAAGAGUAACGGAGGAGCACGAAGGUUGGCUAAUCCUGGUCGGACAUCAGGAGGUUAGUGCAAUGGCAUAAGCCAGCUUGACUGCGAGCGUGACGGCGCGAGCAGGUGCGAAAGCAGGUCAUAGUGAUCCGGUGGUUCUGAAUGGAAGGGCCAUCGCUCAACGGAUAAAAGGUACUCCGGGGAUAACAGGCUGAUACCGCCCAAGAGUUCAUAUCGACGGCGGUGUUUGGCACCUCGAUGUCGGCUCAUCACAUCCUGGGGCUGAAGUAGGUCCCAAGGGUAUGGCUGUUCGCCAUUUAAAGUGGUACGCGAGCUGGGUUUAGAACGUCGUGAGACAGUUCGGUCCCUAUCUGCCGUGGGCGCUGGAGAAUUGAGGGGGGCUGCUCCUAGUACGAGAGGACCGGAGUGGACGCAUCACUGGUGUUCGGGUUGUCAUGCCAAUGGCACUGCCCGGUAGCUAAAUGCGGAAGAGAUAAGUGCUGAAAGCAUCUAAGCACGAAACUUGCCCCGAGAUGAGUUCUCCCUGAGACCUUGAGUCUCCUGAAGGAACGUUGAAGACGACGACGUUGAUAGGUCGGGUGUGUAAGCGCAGCGAUGCGUUGAGCUAACCGAUACUAAUGAACCGUGAGGCUUAACC
This 1398-nucleotide ribosomal RNA is filed under the name Enterobacter hormaechei subsp. hoffmannii UCI 50. RNAcentral describes it as "bacterial LSU rRNA". It matches the Rfam family "Bacterial large subunit ribosomal RNA", at positions 1550 to 2925 of the family's 2925-position model. The record is from RNAcentral. Lineage: Bacteria; Pseudomonadati; Pseudomonadota; Gammaproteobacteria; Enterobacterales; Enterobacteriaceae.